Molecule: ribosomal RNA, 828 nt
Filed under: uncultured bacterium
Lineage: Bacteria
Description: bacterial SSU rRNA
Rfam family: Bacterial small subunit ribosomal RNA
Source: RNAcentral
UCUUGUGAANUCUAACGGCUCAACCGUUAAACUGCUUGGGAAACUGAUAAUCUAGAGUAAGGGAGAGGCAGAUGGAAUUCUUGGUGUAGGGGUAAAAUCCGUAGAUAUCAAGAAGAAUACCUAUUGCGAAGGCGAUNUGCUGGAACUUAACUGACGCUAAUGCGUGAAAGCGUGGGGAGCAAACAGGAUUAGAUACCCUGGUAGUNCACGCCCUAAACGAUGUAUACCGGUUGUUGCUGUGCUAGUCACGGCAGUAAUCCACCUAACGGAUUAAGUAUACCGCCUGGGGAGUACGGUCGCAAGAUUAAAACUCAAAGGAAUAGACGGGGACCCGCACAAGCGGUGGAGCAUGUGGUUUAAUUCGAAGAUACGCGAAGAACCUUACCCGGACUUGAUAUCUAACAAAUCAUCCAGAGAUGGAAGAGUGUCUGCUUGCAGAAAUGUUAAGACAGGUGCUGCACGGCUGUCGUCAGCUCGUGUCGUGAGAUGUUGGGUUAAGUCCCGCAACGAGCGCAACCCACGUCAUUAGUUGCUAACGGUUCGGCCGAGCACUCUAAUGAGACUGCCUUCGUAAGGAGGAGGAAGGUGUGGACGACGUCAAGUCAUCAUGGCCCUUAUGUCCGGGGCGACACACGUGCUACAAUGGCAUAUACAAUAAGACGCAAUAUCGUAAGAUGGAGCAAAUCUAAAAAAUAUGUCCCAGUUCGGAUUGGAGUCUGCAACUCGACUCCAUGAAGCCGGAAUCGCUAGUAAUCGUAGAUCAGCCAUGCUACGGUGAAUACGUUCCCGGGUCUUGUACUCACCGCCCGUCACACCAUGGGAGUUGAU